UAGAGUAAUGCGUGACCAACCUGCCCAUGCUCCAGAAUAGCUCUUGGAAACGGGUGGUAAUGCUGGAUGCUCCAACUUGACGCAUGUCUUGUUGGGAAAGUGUUUAGUGGCAUGGGAUGGGGUCGCGUCCUAUCAGCUUGUAGGCGGGGUAAUGGCCCACCUAGGCUUCGACGGGUAGCCGGCCUGAGAGGGCGGACGGCCACAUUGGGACUGAGAUACGGCCCAGACUCCUACGGGAGGCAGCAGUC
RNAcentral lists this ribosomal RNA (248 nucleotides) under uncultured Gardnerella sp. RNAcentral describes it as "partial 16S ribosomal RNA". It matches the Rfam family "Bacterial small subunit ribosomal RNA", at positions 107 to 355 of the family's 1533-position model. The record is from RNAcentral. Lineage: Bacteria; Bacillati; Actinomycetota; Actinomycetes; Bifidobacteriales; Bifidobacteriaceae.